Cajanus cajan (pigeon pea) is the source of this 498-nucleotide non-coding RNA. NCBI's taxonomy places the organism in Eukaryota, Viridiplantae, Streptophyta, Magnoliopsida, Fabales, Fabaceae. The record is from RefSeq and is a predicted model, not a curated record.
UGCAUGGCUCCAUGUUGAUUGUUACACUAACUUGAUUAAUUGUCUACCUUGUUUUCUGCAGGAAUAUUGAUACAUUCAUGAGCAUAUUUGUGCUUAUGCUUAUUCAAAUAAUAUAUUCAUCUAGUGUCUUGCAUGUGGGAAAGAGGUCAUUUAAUGCAGCCAAGGAUGACUUGCCGGCAACCUUCUUUGGCAUUGUGAAGACCAAAUCAUCAUUUUGUGUUCCGAGAGAAUUUCUAUGGUAUCAAGAUUCAAUUGGUGCAUGUCAAAUUUCCCUCAGCUUGUGCAUCAAUGCUUCAAGAGGCUAAUGUAGUUCUGACUUAUUGUUGCUUCAAAUCUUAAAAAUCAGCUUAGUGUAAUUAUGGGAUAUCUAUUUUUUCUCUUGAGAAAAUUUAGCUCACUUGUAUUUGGAUUUUUCUUUAGGGGUCAUGUUGUGACACUAUGUAUUAAGGAUAUUGUAUAUACAUAGCAAGGAAAAGAAACUUUUUCUAGUUCCCUCUG